GCCCCUGGUGCCACAGCAGCCUGAGGGCACCCUAGCUGGAAAGCUAAGCAGGCUCAGGCUGGCUAGGGCUUAGAUGGGGGGCCAAAUGGGAAGACAGGGGGCUGGAGGCU
This is a ribosomal RNA of Gorilla gorilla gorilla (western lowland gorilla), 110 nucleotides long. NCBI's taxonomy places the organism in Eukaryota, Metazoa, Chordata, Mammalia, Primates, Hominidae. The record is from Ensembl.